AUUGAACGCUGGCGCCAUGCCUUACACAUGCAAGUCGAACGGUAACAGGUCUUCGGAUGCUGACGAGUGGCGAACGGGUGAGUAAUACAUCGGAACGUGCCCGAGAGUGGGGGAUAACGAAGCGAAAGCUUUGCUAAUACCGCAUACGAUCUCAGGAUGAAAGCAGGGGACCGCAAGGCCUUGCGCUCACGGAGCGGCCGAUGGCAGACUAGGUAGUUGGUGGGAUAAAAGCUUACCAAGCCGACGAUCUGUAGCUGGUCUGAGAGGACGACCAGCUACACUGGGACUGAGUCAGGGCCGAGACACCUACGGGAGGCAGCAGUGGGGAGUUUUGGACAAUGGGCGAAAGCCUGAUUCAGCCAUGCCGCGUGCAGGAUGAAGGCCUACGGGUUGUAAACUGCUUUUGUACGGAACGAAAAGACUCUGGUUAAUACCUGGGGUCCAUGACGGUACCGUAAGAAUAAGCACCGGCUAACUACGUGCCAGCAGCCGCGGUAA
RNAcentral lists this ribosomal RNA (498 nucleotides) under uncultured bacterium. Its description in RNAcentral is "partial 16S ribosomal RNA". It matches the Rfam family "Bacterial small subunit ribosomal RNA", at positions 30 to 523 of the family's 1533-position model. The record is from RNAcentral.